This 502-nucleotide ribosomal RNA is filed under the name uncultured bacterium. Its description in RNAcentral is "partial 16S ribosomal RNA". It matches the Rfam family "Bacterial small subunit ribosomal RNA", at positions 28 to 507 of the family's 1533-position model. The record is from RNAcentral.
GACGAACGCUGGCGGCGUGCUUAACACAUGCAAGUCGAACGGUGAAGGGGUCUGCUUUUGUGGGCCCUGGAUGAGUGGCGAACGGGUGAGUAACACGUGAGUAACCUGCCCCCUUCUUCUGGAUAACCGCAUGAAAGUGUGGCUAAUACGGGAUAUUCUGGGUCUGUCGCAUGAUGGGUCUGGGAAAGAUUGCGCCUUUGGGUGUUUUUGGUGGGGGAUGGGCUCGCGGCCUAUCAGCUUGUUGGUGGGGUGAUGGCCUACCAAGGCGGUGACGGGUAGCCGGACUGAGAGGGUGGACGGUCACACUGGGACUGAGACACGGCCCAGACUCCUACGGGAGGCAGCAGUGGGGAAUAUUGCACAAUGGGCGCAAGCCUGAUGCAGCGACGCCGCGUGAGGGAUGGAGGCCUUCGGGUUGUAAACCUCUUUCGCCAGUGAAGCAGGCCUGCUCCUUGUGGGUGGGUUGACGGUAGCUGGAGAAGAAGCGCCGGCUAACUACGUG